RNAcentral lists this transfer RNA (73 nucleotides) under Vicugna pacos (alpaca). RNAcentral describes it as "tRNA-Ala (AGC) (tRNA-Ala-AGC-372-1)". It matches the Rfam family "tRNA". From Rfam's summary of the family: Transfer RNA (tRNA) molecules are approximately 80 nucleotides in length. Their secondary structure includes four short double-helical elements and three loops (D, anti-codon, and T loops). Lineage: Eukaryota; Metazoa; Chordata; Mammalia; Artiodactyla; Camelidae. The record is from RNAcentral.
GGUGGGUAUAGCUCAGUGGUAGAGUGUGUGCUUAGCAUGCACGAGGUCCUGGGUUCAAUCCCCAGUAUCUCCA